RNAcentral lists this long non-coding RNA (309 nucleotides) under Glycine max (soybean). RNAcentral's name for it is "long non-coding RNA (GMAX_LNC002580)". The record is from RNAcentral. Lineage: Eukaryota; Viridiplantae; Streptophyta; Magnoliopsida; Fabales; Fabaceae.
CAAGUUGAGGUCUCCCCCAGCAAUCAGAAAGGCUUUGGAGUGGUGCAGGGAACAGAUGCCUCUGCUUUAUACAAUUCUCAGGCUUUCCAGCAACCUAAUAACAAUUCUCAGGCUUUCCAGCAACCUAAUAACAAUUCUCAGGCUUUCCAGCAACUUAAUAACAAUUCUCUGGCUUUCCAGCAACCUAAUAACAAUUCUCAGGCUUUCCAGCAACCUAAUAACAAUUCUCAGGCUUUCCAGCAACCUAAUAACAAUUCUCAGGCUUUCCAGCAACCUAAUAAUUCUUUUGCCUUAUCUAAUCAAACUAAU